AACGAACGCUGGCGGCAGGCUUAACACAUGCAAGUCGAACGCAUGCCUACGGGCAUGAGUGGCUGACGGGUGAGUAACGCGUGGGAACCUACCCCUUGGUACGGGAUAGCUCCGGGAAACUGGAGAUAAUACCGAAUGUUUCCUGAGGGACAAAGAUUCAUUGCCAAGGGAUGGGCGCGCGUGGGAUUAGCUAGUUGGUGGGAUAACGGCCUACCAAGGCGACGAUCCGUAGCUGGUCUAAGAGGAUGAUCCGCCACAUUGGGACUGAGACCCGGCCCGAACUCUUAGGGGAGGCAGGAGCGGGGAAUAUUGGACAAUGGGCGCGAGCAUGAUGCAGCCAGGCCGCGUGAGUGAUGAAGGCGCUAGGGUUGUAUAGCUCUUUCAACGGUGACGAUAAUGACGGUAACCGGAGAAGAAGCCCCGGCUAACUUCGUG
This 435-nucleotide ribosomal RNA is filed under the name uncultured bacterium. RNAcentral's name for it is "partial 16S ribosomal RNA". It matches the Rfam family "Bacterial small subunit ribosomal RNA", at positions 29 to 507 of the family's 1533-position model. The record is from RNAcentral.